UGGGAUGUAGCUCAGUGGUAGAGCACUUACCUAGCAUGUAUGAAUCUCUGGAUUCAAUCCCUAGUUCUCUAA
Non-coding RNA from Fukomys damarensis (Damara mole-rat), 72 nucleotides. NCBI's taxonomy places the organism in Eukaryota, Metazoa, Chordata, Mammalia, Rodentia, Bathyergidae. The record is from Rfam.